AUUGAACGCUGGCGGCAGGCCUAACACAUGCAAGUCGAACGAGUGGCGGACGGGUGAGUAAUGUCUGGGAAACUGCCUGAUGGAGGGGGAUCACUACCGGAAACGGAAGCUAAUACCGCAUACCUUCUCAUGUGCCCAGUUGGGAUUAGCUAGUGGGUGGGGUAACGGCUCACCAAGGCGACGAACCGUAGCUGGUCUGAGAGGAUGAACAGCCACACUGGAACUGAGACACGGUCCAGAAUCCUACGGGAGGCAGCAGUGGGGAAUAUUGCACAAUGGGCGCAAGCCUGAUGCAGCCAUGCCGCGUGUAUGAAGAAGGCCUUCGGGUUGUAAAGUACUUUCAGCGGGGAGGCGUUACCCUCAGAAGAAGCACCGGCUAACUCCGUGCCAGCAGCCGCGGUAAUUC
RNAcentral lists this ribosomal RNA (406 nucleotides) under uncultured bacterium. RNAcentral's name for it is "partial 16S ribosomal RNA". It matches the Rfam family "Bacterial small subunit ribosomal RNA", at positions 30 to 526 of the family's 1533-position model. The record is from RNAcentral.